Molecule: ribosomal RNA, 253 nt
Filed under: uncultured archaeon
Lineage: Archaea
Description: partial 16S ribosomal RNA
Rfam family: Archaeal small subunit ribosomal RNA
Source: RNAcentral
AACCAGCACCUCAAGUGGUCAGGAUGAUUAUUGGGCCUAAAGCAUCCGUAGCCGGCUCUGUAAGUUUUCGGUUAAAUCUGUACGCUCAACGUACAGGCUGCCGGGAAUACUGCAGAGCUAGGGAGUGGGAGAGGUAGACGGUACUCGGUAGGAAGGGGUAAAAUCCUUUGAUCUAUUGAUGACCACCAGUGGCGAAGGCGGAUUUCUGGGCUAGCACUGACGCUGAGGUGCGAAAGCUGAGGGAGCGAACAGG